This 877-nucleotide small RNA is filed under the name Pongo abelii (Sumatran orangutan). RNAcentral describes it as "processed transcript". The record is from RNAcentral. Lineage: Eukaryota; Metazoa; Chordata; Mammalia; Primates; Hominidae.
AUUUUACGACAGGCGGGAUUGCUUUGUGGCUGUCAGCUUUCCCCGUGGUCUGAGUUUGUGGCUGCAUUUUUAUCCCUGGUGGCUCUGCUACGGCGGCGCAGAAAUGAGGCAGAAGCGGAAAGGAGAUCUCAGCCCUGCUGAGCUGAUGAUGCUGACUAUAGGAGAUGUUAUUAAACAACUGAUUGAAGCCCAUGAGCAGGGGAAAGACAUCGAUCUAAAUAAGGUGAAAACCAAGACAGCCGCCAAAUAUGGCCUUUCCGCCCAGCCCCGCCUGGUGGAUAUCAUUGCUGCCGUCCCUCCUCAGUAUCGCAAGGUCUUGGUUCCCAAGUUAAAAGCGAAACCCAUCAGAACUGCCAGUGGGAUUGCUGUUGUGGCUGUGAUGUGCAAACCCCACAGAUGUCCACACAUCAGUUUUACAGGAAAUAUAUGUGUAUACUGCCCUGGUGGACCUGAUUCUGAUUUUGAGUAUUCUACCCAGUCUUACACUGGCUAUGAGCCAACCUCCAUGAGAGCUAUCCGUGCGAGAUAUGACCCUUUCCUACAGACAAGACACCGAAUAGAACAGUUAAAACAACUUGGUCAUAGUGUGGAUAAAGUGGAGUUUAUUGUGAUGGGUGGAACGUUUAUGGCCCUUCCAGAAGAAUACAGAGAUUAUUUUAUUCGAAAUUUACAUGAUGCCUUAUCAGGACAUACUUCCAACAAUAUUUACGAGGCAGUCAAAAAUUUAUUGGCUCACAGCUUUGGAGGUAGGGAAGUCCAAUGUCAAGGUGCUGGCAUCUGGCAAGAGCCUUCUUACUACGUCAUCACGGCAAAAGGCAAGAGAAACAAAAAGCGGACCAAUUCACCCUUUUAUAAUGGCAUUAAUCUUACCCACAAG